This 467-nucleotide ribosomal RNA is filed under the name uncultured bacterium. Its description in RNAcentral is "partial 16S ribosomal RNA". It matches the Rfam family "Bacterial small subunit ribosomal RNA", at positions 28 to 506 of the family's 1533-position model. The record is from RNAcentral.
GACGAACGCUGGCGGCGUGCUUAACACAUGCAAGUCGAACGGAAAGGCCCUGCUUUUGUGGGGUGCUCGAGUGGCGAACGGGUGAGUAACACGUGAGUAACCUGCCCUUGACUUUGGGAUAACUUCAGGAAACUGGGGCUAAUACCGGAUAGGAGCUCCUGCUGCAUGGUGGGGGUUGGAAAGUUUCGGCGGUUGGGGAUGGACUCGCGGCUUAUCAGCUUGUUGGUGGGGUAGUGGCUUACCAAGGCUUUGACGGGUAGCCGGCCUGAGAGGGUGACCGGCCACAUUGGGACUGAGAUACGGACCAGACUCCUACGGGAGGCAGGAGUGGGGAAUAUUGCACAAUGGGCGGAAGCCUGAGGCAGCAACGCCGCGUGCGGGAUGACGGCCUUCGGGUGGUAAACCGCUUUCGCCUGUGACGAAGCGUGAGUGACGGUAAUGGGUAAAGAAGCACCGGCUAACUACGU